CGGGUACAGAACAGCGAAGACAG
Molecule: non-coding RNA, 23 nt
Filed under: Cricetulus griseus (Chinese hamster)
Lineage: Eukaryota; Metazoa; Chordata; Mammalia; Rodentia; Cricetidae
Source: RNAcentral